GCACUGCUGAAAAGUCCCACACUAGGACGAAACAUCUGUCCAGUAC
Non-coding RNA from Schistosoma curassoni, 46 nucleotides. The record is from Rfam. NCBI's taxonomy places the organism in Eukaryota, Metazoa, Platyhelminthes, Trematoda, Strigeidida, Schistosomatidae.